This 85-nucleotide transfer RNA is filed under the name Pseudomonas nitroreducens. RNAcentral describes it as "tRNA-Leu". It matches the Rfam family "tRNA". From Rfam's summary of the family: Transfer RNA (tRNA) molecules are approximately 80 nucleotides in length. Their secondary structure includes four short double-helical elements and three loops (D, anti-codon, and T loops). Further hydrogen bonds mediate the characteristic L-shaped molecular structure. tRNAs have two regions of fundamental functional importance: the anti-codon, which is responsible for specific mRNA codon recognition, and the 3' end, to which the tRNAs corresponding amino acid is attached (by aminoacyl-tRNA synthetases). tRNAs cope with the degeneracy of the genetic code in two manners: having more than one tRNA (with a specific anti-codon) for a particular amino acid; and 'wobble' base-pairing, i.e. permitting non-standard base-pairing at the 3rd anti-codon position. The record is from RNAcentral. Lineage: Bacteria; Pseudomonadati; Pseudomonadota; Gammaproteobacteria; Pseudomonadales; Pseudomonadaceae.
GCGCAGGUGAUGGAAUCGGUAGACGUGCCGCACUCAAAAUGCGGUGGCCUAGGCCGUGUGGGUUCGAGUCCCACGCUGCGCACCA